UUGUAUCUUCUCUCUAAACCUGAUUUUACCUCUUCAUCUCCUACAAUCAAACUAGAACUUCAUCUUCCUCUCCCACAUUCAACCCCCAGCCGACACCCCUCUCCUUUUCGCACCCAAUCUCCUUCUCGACUUCAACCGGCCAACCACACAAACACCUCUCUACCACUCCCGUUCUCCUCUCCUUCGCCCUGCACAAACGGCCGACCACCACCUCAGUGGUGGCGGCGCACAAACAACAGCAGCAACAACCGCAUUCUUGCCGCAUAGAAGGUGGUGGUGCACGACGGUAGUAAAACGUCGGAACUGAUAACGGUGCUGGUGCUGUGCGACGGCUCACGGUGGUGUUUCAGGUUCGGUUCAGUCCCGGGUGUUUCGGAUUGUUCUUGGUGUCUCGGUUCAAACCUGGUUAACAUGGUCAACACUGGUCAGACCAAUCCGGCUCGAUGUUCGGUUCAGAGUUCGAGCCAACACCCGAGGCCGCCAGAAAGCUUCUUCCUCUCAUCUUCGGGUAGUUCUCAUUGUUUGGGGAUUUCUCAAUUCUUUACUCGUGCGUUAUUAC
Molecule: long non-coding RNA, 559 nt
Filed under: Helianthus annuus (common sunflower)
Lineage: Eukaryota; Viridiplantae; Streptophyta; Magnoliopsida; Asterales; Asteraceae
Source: RNAcentral